This 420-nucleotide ribosomal RNA is filed under the name uncultured crenarchaeote. RNAcentral's name for it is "bacterial SSU rRNA". It matches the Rfam family "Archaeal small subunit ribosomal RNA", at positions 458 to 855 of the family's 1478-position model. Lineage: Archaea; Thermoproteati; Thermoproteota. The record is from RNAcentral.
CCAGCGGCCGCGGUAAUACCAGCUCCUCGAGUGGUCGGGACGAUUAUUGGGCCUAAAGCACCCGUAGCCUGUUCAGUAAGUCCUCUGUUAAAUCCAACYGCUCAACGGUUGGCACGCAGAGGAUACYGCUGGACUAGGAGGCGGGAGAGGCGGACGGUACUCCGCGUGUAGGGGUAAAAUCCUUUGAUCCGCGGAAGACCACCAGUGGCGAAGGCGGUCCGCCAGAACGCGCUCGACGGUGAGGGGUGAAAGCUGGGGGAGCGAACCGGAUUAGAUACCCGGGUAGUCCCAGCCGUAAACGAUGCGAGCUAGAUGAUUCRAUUGCWGUUCGCAAUCGAAGUGUCGCAGGGAAGCCGUUAAGCUCGCCGCCUGGGGAGUACGGUCGCAAGGCUGAAUUGUCGGCGAUGUCUUUCGCCCGGC